This 253-nucleotide ribosomal RNA is filed under the name uncultured Lachnospiraceae bacterium. RNAcentral's name for it is "partial 16S ribosomal RNA". It matches the Rfam family "Bacterial small subunit ribosomal RNA", at positions 524 to 776 of the family's 1533-position model. Lineage: Bacteria; Bacillati; Bacillota; Clostridia; Lachnospirales; Lachnospiraceae. The record is from RNAcentral.
UACGUAGGGAGCAAGCGUUGUCCGGAUUUACUGGGUGUAAAGGGAGCGUAGACGGUGAUGCAAGUCAGAAGUGAAAGCCCGGGGCUCAACUCCGGGACUGCUUUUGAAACUGUGUGACUGGAGUGCUGGAGAGGCAAGCGGAAUUCCUAGUGUAGCGGUGAAAUGCGUAGAUAUUAGGAAGAACACCAGUGGCGAAGGCGGCUUGCUGGACAGUAACUGACGUUGAGGCUCGAAAGCGUGGGGAGCAAACAGG